CCUACUGUAAACACACAGUCCAGUUCAUAGUGAAUGAUGACAGGUCCUACUGUAAACACACAGUCCAGUUCAUAGUGAAUGAUGACAGGUCCUACUGUUUGUAAACACAGUCCAGUUCAUAGUGAAUGAUGGCAGGUCCUACUGCCUGUAAACACACAGUCCAGUUCAUAGUGAAUGAUGGCAGGACCUACUGUCUGUAAACACACAGUCCAGUUCAUAGUGAAUGAUGACAGGUCCUACUGCCUGGAAACACACAGUCCAUUCAUAGUGAAUGAUGGCAGUAAAGCAGGACCAACUGCUGUAAACACACAGUCCAGUUCAUAGUGAAUGAUGACAGUAAAGCAGGUCCUACUGCUGUAAACACACAGUCCAGUUCAUAGUGAAUGAUGACAG
RNAcentral lists this long non-coding RNA (393 nucleotides) under Salmo salar (Atlantic salmon). RNAcentral's name for it is "lncRNA (ENSSSAG00000116183.1)". Lineage: Eukaryota; Metazoa; Chordata; Actinopteri; Salmoniformes; Salmonidae. The record is from RNAcentral.